Molecule: RNA transcript, 11272 nt
Organism: Melospiza melodia melodia
Lineage: Eukaryota; Metazoa; Chordata; Aves; Passeriformes; Passerellidae
Gene: HIVEP1
Gene name: HIVEP zinc finger 1
Exons: 11
Source: RefSeq, a predicted model, not a curated record
GCGGCGGAGAGCACGACGCGCCUCCUCCUCGUAUUUCCUCCCCCGCCCACUUCCAGCGGCGGAGGGGCUCGCUGCCGCCGCCGGCUGCCGCCCGGGAUGGAAAGUUGUAGCCGCGGCGGGAUGCGCGGCGCGGCGCAUACGGAUUAACUGAGCCCUUUGACAAGUUUAUGGAGCUGCCAUCUCUCUGCUUGCUGUACUUUCCGUUUCUGAGAGGAGAAAGUGGUGCAUGAGAUUAGAGGAAAAUGCCUCGGACAAAGCAGAUACAUCCCAGAAAUCUGAGAGACAAAAUUGAAGAAGCACAAAAACAACUUAAUGGAACAGAAGACCAACAGAGAGAAAUCACCGAUGCUGGUACUAGAGGAACCCAAGAUACAAUUAAGGGUGUGAAAAGAAAAAAGAUUGUUUCUGAAAACCAUCUUAAAAAAAUACCAAAAUCGCCUUUGAGAAGCCCUGCUGAAGCCAAGGUUAAGCAAAAUGUAGACCCUUCACCGCUGAAAGCUCUUCCGGAUGCCUCCGAACAUGCCACAGCACAGGAUCACCUGCCCAUGCAAAAUGGAAAUCAAUGUACCAAACAAAAUGGGGGAGCACUUAGCGGUGAGAUAAGUGUUGAAACAACCAAAUCUGAGACAUCAAUGCAGACAAAGCUUUCACUGACGCAUCAGUCCUUAGAUUUGUGUAAACAGGCAGCGGGGGAUACUGAUGCAAACCAACUGAACUCAGCAGAGAGGAAGGCUCCCUCAAACUCCUCAUCAAGUAAUACAAAGACUGACAGUAAUGAAUGUAUUAACUUUGUUGAUUGCAGCACGUCGUCCCCAUGUACGCGUACUGCAUUCGAUGUCUUACUAAAAGCUAUGGAGCCUGAACUGAACACCUUAGCACAAGAGUGCCCCCCUUAUGGGAUGCAGAUAGAGAAACUGAGACCAAAUAAAACUGUAAGCACCUCUUCUAGUCUCACGUCCAAUACAAUAAGUGUCCAAAAUCAGUCGUCUUUGUCACAGCAGGAGUUUGCAGCUGGACCUCCCUAUUACCCAUGUACGUUGAACAAUGUGCAUGUAGCAACAACAGCCAAGACUGGACAAGCACAAGGCCAAUCAGUUUCUCAUUCACAAGACCUUAUUACUAAAACCAGUCAGCAAAAUCACCAGGUUGUUAUGUGUCCAAGUUUAACUAGGUCGCUGGUGCAACAGCAGAGUCAAGAAAACCCCAAGCUCCAGCAGAUCUACAGCAUAGCAGUAACUUCAUCUGUUGUUCACACCUCAUCUUCCACUGUAACUCAGGUUUUUUCUCAAAACCCCUUAGUAGCUAGUUCGUCUUCACCAUUGUCAAUUAACACAUCAAGUUCAACACACUUGUCUAUAGGUCCCGUGUAUAAUUCAGCCCAGAUAGCAUCAGUUGUAAACCAUGGUGUAGAACAAAUAUGUAACCUCUUGAAAGACCAGAAGCCUAAAAAGCUGGGGAAAUAUGUCUGUGAGUAUUGCAAUCGGGCCUGUGCCAAGCCCAGUGUUCUCCAAAAGCACAUCCGAUCCCAUACUGGAGAGCGACCAUAUCCUUGUGUGACAUGUGGAUUUUCGUUUAAAACCAAAAGCAAUCUCUACAAGCACAAAAAAUCUCAUGCACACGCUAUCAAACUUGGACUUGUCCUGCAACCAGAUUCAGGUGGCCUGUUCUUAUCUCAUGACUCAGACAAAGCACUUAGCAUUCAUUCAGAUGUGGAAGAAAGCGGUGAAAGUGAAGAUGAAGGCACUGCAGAUGAAAGACAAGAUGAUCAAGAACUGGAACCUGCACAAUUAGUGAAAGUAAUUUCAAGUGCAGAAACACUGCAGAAAGGAAGCCCUAUUCCAUUAAGCAACCCAGACUGUGUAUCAGGUGACUCUUCAUUACAUGAUGCAGAACCUCAAGUAAGGGCAGCUUUACCAAAAGUAGUGGUUCAUUCUGUAAAUGUUUCUCCAUUGAGGGCCGAUAGCCCAAAAGUGACAGAGCCAGCACCUGAGCUUGCUGCAGCACAGAGAAAAGGAGAUUCUAAAGUCACAACCCUUCAGACAAAUUUAACACAUGCAGCCUCAUUCAAGGAGAAUGACAUAAAGCAGCGUCAGAAAGUAGAAGCAGGCCUGUUAGAGGAACAGCCAGGAUCUACAGGAGGACCAGUGCAUGCUCAGCUCCAGAGACAACAGGCUACUGAUGGUUCUCAGGAUCAGCAAGGAAAAUGUCUUUUGAGCCCUAGAAGUUUAGGUAGUACUGAUUCCGGUUAUUUCUCUCGUUCCGAAAGUGCCGAUCAAACAAUGAGCCCUCCAGCUCCUUUUAUAAGGGGAUUGUUGACCUCUGAGAAAGAUCCAAAUAAAAAUCUGCCCUGUGUGCCACGAGCAAGUGGCGUGGUAGCAUCAGUGGUACAAACUGUUUGUGCUGACAAAAAUCUGAUUCUCUCUGGCCAAAUGCGACCACCCUUGGCAACAAAAACUCUUGAGGAGCGUAUCUCAAAGUUAAUUUCUGAUAAUGAAGCUGUUGUGGAUGACAAACAGUUAGAUAGUGUGAAACCAAGAAGAACAUCUCUUUCAAGAAGAGGAAGCAUAGAUUCACCAAAAUCUUACAUAUUUAAGGACUCUUUCCAGUUUGAUUUAAAGCCCAUGGGAAGAAGAACUAGCUCAAGCUCUGAUAUACCAAAGUCUCCUUUCACACCUACUGAGAAAUCCAAGCAAGUUUUUCUUCUUUCUGUACCAUCCCUUGACUGUUUACCUAUAACACGAAGUAAUUCCAUGCCUACCACCAGUUACUCAGCAGUACCUCCUAAUGUCAUACCUCCUUCUCAUCCUCUUCGAGGAAGCCAGUCAUUUGAUGAUAAAAUUGGCUCUUUAUACGAUGAUGUUUUUGUGUCGGGACCUGCUGCUCCACUGAACCAAGGUGGACAUCCUCGGACCCUGGUCAGACAGGCAGCAAUAGAAGAUUCUUCUACUGGUGAAAGCCAAGGUCUUGGACCUGUGCGAUCUGUAGAAGAAAAUUAUCUGGGGUGUAAUUUAUCAAAUGAAUCCUUAUUGCAAAGGAGCAAAUCUCUGGCACAGGGAUCAAAUUCAGAAAAAACAAAGAAGUCCCCUCAGGUGCGAGGAACAAUGUUUGAAUGUGAAACCUGCAGGAACAGAUAUAGAAAACUGGAAAAUUUUGAAAACCACAAGAAAUUUUAUUGUUCAGAGUUGCAUGGACCUAAAACUAAAGCAGCAGUCCGAGAGCCUGAGCACAAAACUGCUCCAAACAGUACACAGCCUCAAAUUCUACACUACAGAGUCACAACUUCAACUGGUGUCUGGGAGCAGACACCCCAGAUAAGGAAAAGAAGGAAAAUGAAAAGUGUUGGUGAUGAUGAUGACCCACAGCAAAAUGAUACGAGUGUACUAUUGAAGAACGCAGAAGGCCAAAGCAAGGCAGAAAAUUCUUCCAGUCUGUCAAAACACAGUGCCACAACUGUGGUAGGAUCACAACAACCAAGCAAACUUCUACUUCAGAAUUCCCAAAUUCAGCUUGUGGCUCGUGGCACAGAUCAGACUACUGAGCCAAAGACAGCUUCCCUCAUUGAAAAGCAGGCAAGUUCAGCUGUGCAAGAAAAGGUGGAGUUGAAAAGACAAGGGACUGGCAUUUCAGUAAUACAGCACACAAAUUCACUGAGCAGAAAUAGCUCAUUUGAGAAAUCAGAGUCAUUUGAAAGAGUAUCCCCAGUUUCUUCUCAAGAGCCCAACAAGGGUGCAAAGCACCGCUCUUUGAAUACAGUUGUAAUCCAAGAAGACAGACACUCUCAUCUGAGCACUCCCCAGCGUCACCAGCCCUUGUCAUCAGAACCACCUAGAGGGGAAGUUCAGGGAAGCCAAUUAGUUUCUAAUGAGAGAAGUGUGCCACUUCAGCCAUCAAGACUCGUUCGCCAGCAUAACAUCCAGGUUCCUGAAAUACUGGUCACAGAAGAACCAGACAGAGAGCAAGAAAACCAAUGCAAUGACCCAGAAAAGACAGAAAGGUUUAACUGGCCACAACGCAGUGAAACACUGUCAAAAUUGCCAACAGAAAAGCUUCCACCGAAAAAGAAGAGAAUUCGGCUGGCUGAAAUGGAACAUUCAUCUGCUGAAUCCAGUGUUGACUCCACACUUUCCAGAAGCCUAAGUCGGGAGAGUAGCUUGUCUCAUGCCUCCAGUUUCUCAACUUCACUUGAUAAAGAUGAAACUGUAAAGGCUGAGAACCCUUCCAAAGCAGAGCCCAUUAGUAAGUCGUCAGAAUUCCUCAUGAUUCCUGCUGGCUCACACGCACUGGCAGUGCCUGGACCUCAUUACCGGGAAAUGCGACGUGCUGCCUCAGAGCAGAUCAGCUGCACGCAGCCCUCAAUGGAGGUUGUGGACUACAGGAGUAAGUCUUUCGACUGUGGAAGCAUGUCUCCAUCAAAACCUGUCCCGCUUGUAGAGGUAGCCGCUCCAAAAGUGUCGUCUGCAAACGGAGCUGCUGGACAUGUGCCUCUGCUAGAAAGGAGAAGGGGGCCAUUUGUAAGACAAAUAUCUUUAAAUAUUGCUCCUGAAAAUCAACAGCCUCAAGUGAAAUCGACUUCUUCAUUGCAGGCAGCUCAUGCCACAGAUGUGCCCACAGUGCCAUUGCACAGGCUGCAGUCCUCUGGCAAACUCUCGGUGGAGUUUCCUUCAAGUACUCAGCACUCACAGACUAACUCCAGACCUCAUUCAACUAUUCAAAAUUGUAAUCCUGUUAGCCUGUCUUCGCCUCAGCAGCCUCUAGAUCACAUGUUGAAUAAUCAAGGCCAGCCAUCCUUGACUCAUCAGCCUUCUCAGCCGUCUACUAAAACAUCAGCCCAAGGGGAGCAAGCAAGCGUGGACUCACUUUCUUGUCAUCCUGAUGAAAAAAAGGACUGUUUUGCUCCAAAGUAUCAACUUCAAGUUAAAACAUUACAUAUAGGUCAGCCAUACUCUUCUAAAUUACUAAAAAAUACUUUAUCAACCCAGACUGGUUCAAAUCAAGUUGGAGUGGACCAGAAUGCAUCUUCCUUUGAAGUGCAGACAAAACUCUCUGACGUGUCUAAUCCAUACUCUGUGCCUCCUCUAAAGCAAAUUGUUCCUAAUAACUGCAACAGUCAGAUCCAUCAGAUUCCUCCUUUUGUGGUUCCCGUUCGUAUUCAGAGCAGCAUGCCAUCCUAUGGCUUCGCAACUGUUACACCCCUGCCUCACAUUUUAGUGACCCAGGAUCAGGGAAAUCAGUCCCUCUGCAAAACAAAUGUUGUGAUGGUGCCAACACUUGAAGGCAAAACUCAGCUGCCAAAAUCUCACAAAGAUCAUCAGAGGACUUUGCCAAAUUCAUUUGAAUUUGAAAAUUCACCACUGGAAAGUGGAACCAGAAAUUCACCUUUGUCAAGCUCUUCAAAUAUCAUUCAGAAAGUGCCAGUUAGCGGACUCUUUCCUCAGCCAGAAGUUACAGCUUCAAGUAAACGAAUGCUUUCCCCAGCAAACAGUUUAGAUAUUGCCAUGGAAAAACAGCAAAAACGUGUUAAAGAUGAGAGUGGAGCUGCUUGUAUGACAGAUGCUAGACCAUUGCAUUCACUGAACGUUAGAUCUAAUGACCCUACUAGUAAGCAAAAGAAACCAGUUUUGGUAAGACAGGUUUGCACCACAGAGCCUCUUGAAAAUCACCUCUUGGAUCCUGAUGUUGUUACACAGCAUGAAAAAAACAGCAAGGCCAGUACUUCAGACCUGCCUGACCAUCAAUCAUCUGACACUGGGGUUUCAGAAACCCUAAAAAAGUCACCAGAAUCUGAAGACCUCAAGUCUUCCACAUCACCAGUAUUUGUAGUUAGGAAACCUUCUGAAUUGUCUCCAGUGAAUAGUUCUCUUCUCAAGGCUGUAAGUAGCAGCCAAGAAAGAAGGUCCCCAACUAACAGUGAUGAGAGCACCCACAUCAGCAGCCCAGGCCAAGCAAAGCCUGUAGCGACACUGGCUGUGAUGAAUGCAGGAGAAUUGCAGAGGUUGUCGUUUCCAAGCCUCAAGACCACAACAAAUUUUACCUGGUGUUACCUCAUGAAGAGAAAACCAUUGCACCUGCUGCAAAAUGAUCAAAAAAUCUCUGCCUAUUCUACAUGGACCAUUAGUCCCAACAACCCCAAUCCACUCGGUUUGUCGACAAAGGUAGCUCUCUCCCUCCUCAAUUCCAAACAGAAAGUUGAAAAGCCACUGUACACUCUAGCAAGAACUACUCUCCCCAGAUCUGAUGUAUUGGUCUAUUCAAGCAAGUGGAAGAACAGCUUGACCAAGAGAGGAUUAAACAGGAAAAAAUUGACUCCAGCUGAAUUCAGCAAUAAGGAAAACUCUGAAUCGAGCACUGAACAUGAUAAAGAAAAUUCAUUUAUCAAAACUGUACCAAGAAGAGUUAAAAUAUUUGAUGGAGGGUACAAGUCAAAUGAAGACUAUGUGUAUGUGAGAGGGAGAGGGAGAGGGAAGUAUAUCUGUGAGGAGUGUGGAAUACGCUGCAAGAAGCCCAGCAUGCUGAAGAAGCACAUUCGCACACACACCGAUGUCCGUCCUUACCACUGCAAUUACUGCAACUUUUCCUUCAAAACUAAGGGCAAUUUAACGAAGCAUAUGAAGUCAAAGGCACAUAGCAAGAAAUGCAUGGAUUUGGGAGUCUCAGUAGGCUUAAUAGAUGACCAGGAUGGAGAAGAAGAAUUUGGUGAGAAGCAAAGAUUUGGCUAUGACCGGUCAGGAUAUGACGUGGAGGAGUCUGAUGGUGGCGAUGAAGAUGAGAAUGACAACGAGGACGAUGAUGAAGACAGCCAGGCUGAGUCGGUGCUAUCCACAACGCCCUCGGUGACAGCCAGCCCCCAGCACCAGCCCUCUCGCCACGGCCUGCAGGAUGCCGCCUGCACCGAUGACGACAUCAGGCUUCCAGACUGCUUCACCGGGGCUCACACGGACUCCAUGGAUGGCCUCCCAAAAGCACUGCUGACCAAGAUGACUGUCCUUAGCACAGUGCAGUCGGUCAGCAGGACCUCCAGGUCGCCAGCAGAGUCCACCCAUCAGGAAGCACACGAGGACAAAGCCCAGGAGAGAGGAGUGGGUCCCUGCGGUGCUGAUGCGGCACUGACGGACAUUGCUCCUGCAUCUCCAGGUCGCCAGAUGUCCGUGGAUUACCCUGAUCCACAUACAGCCUUGGGCCACUCCUUAAUAUCAACUGCAGCUCUUACAAAGAGCACGCCCUCCAUCAGCUCCCCGUCCUCGCUGGCAGACCACAGCAUGCCGACACCGACAGCGCCGUCACCCUACAGCGAAAUCCCGGAGGAGAAGCCGGCUGCCGAGCCGAGAGCUCCCCAGACUCACCUCUUCAGCCACCUGCCCCUGCACUCGCAGCGGCAAGCCAAGGCUCCCUACGGCAUGGUGCCCGUCGGGGGCAUCCAGGUGGUCCCUGCCGGCCUAGCCACCUACUCCACCUUCGUUCCCAUCCAGGCGGGGCCGGUGCAGCUCACUAUCCCAGCCGUGAGCGUGAUUCACAGAACUACCAGCGCCCUUGGCGAGACCGGCGGCACGGCCCCCGGCACCACCGCGAAUCCCGUGGGAGUCGCUGAGGUGAACAGCGUGGUGCCGUGCAUUCCCAUCGGCCAGGUGAGCGUGCCGGGCAUUCAGGGGCUCGGCACGCCCAACCUGCAGCCUCUGCCGCCACUGGGCAUGGAGACAGUGAACAUCCUGGGCCUGGCAAACACCAAUAUCGCCCCGCAGAUGCGCCCCCCGGGAAUCACCCUCAACGCCGUGGGCCUCCAGGUGCUGACAGCCGGCGCGGCCCCGCAGGGCACCAACCCCAGCCCACAGGGACCCCUUCCUGGCCUGCAGAUCCUGAACAUCGCCCUGCCCACCCUCAUCCCCUCCGUCAGCCCCGCCAGUGCCGACGGGCACGGAGCCUCCGAGGCACCCACCGUGGGCUCCAAAGCCAGCGAGGUCCAGCUGGAGCCCGCUCCUGUCGGCUUCCCCACGGCCGAGGCCGGCCGCGAUGCUUCUCCUCAGGCGGUGGCUGGUGGCCAGCGGUACGGCGGGAAGAGCCAUCCCGAGCCCAACCCCGUGACCAACCCCGCUGGUCCCGGGAAAGCUGAUCCUGAAAAGACUGACCUCGCCAACCCCAGCAAGCCAAAGCGUGACCUCCCUGCCCUCCAGGUGAAGAGGGCUGCCCCGGCAGAGCCCCGCUCCAAGGUGUUUUGAAGACGCCAAGGGCAAGAGAUGGAAGCAUAUCUUGAAGAGUAAGAAUGACAUGACAACAGAUAUGUCAUAAGGAGGAACAUUAAGAUGUGUCACUUGUGCUUCAGAGCAAGAGCUCACACAUCUAAUGCUGAUUAAUGCUGCUGGACUGAGCAACUGGCUCCCCUGUGGAUAUCCUGUUUUCCUGUGAAUCAUCACUCCUUGAGACAUCCUCCAACUCAGAUCAAAGGUCCCGAAUGUAUUAGAUAUGAAGACAUCAGACAGCUCUAACAGAUUAGAAAAGACACACACAAAGAAGUGUGCCCCAGCUUCUCCCUCAUGUCCUGCUGAAAACUGGCACAAUGAACAUAAUCCUAAGCUCUUAUCAUAAAAAGUAGAAAGACAAAAAAGAAGAAAAAAUGGAGAGAGACUUUGGGAAUGUAGUAUACCCGAAGAUUUCUGCAAUUUGCCCUUUCUAGGUAUUUGCACUUUUGUACUUACUUAGUUCUCCCUUACAGUUGUGAACUUCUCAGGCCAGAUUCUCAUCUGAUGGAAAAUGACACCCUUGAGCUUCAGCAAGACCUGCACCAACUGUGUCAGCAGAGGACUUGGGACUAUCCCUUUAAGCACUGAGCCUUGCCUACAAACACAAAAAUUAAAGAAACAUGAACACCUGUGGUCUGUUUUUUUCACGUUUGUGUAGUCUGCUGCAUCCUCUGUGGUUUUAUUCAAUUUUCCAUAUAGCUACAUGAACAACUGAAAGGGUCCUGUGCCAGUGAGAUGCCAAAACCUGAGGUCAUGAGGUCAAACUAGAUUAUCUUAAUAGUCUCUUCCCCCCUUGCAAUCUUUGCACACAGGUUUUAUCUGAUAAAGGAGUUAAAGUCUUUAUUUCAGCAACGUUUGAUCUUGAAGAUUACACAAAUAAUUAGUCUUUUAAGCUUCUGAGCUUUUUUUAAAAUAGAAUUUUAAACUCUCCUUUUAAUGGAUGCCUUUUAAUCCUUAUGUUUAAGUGUAAGAGCCAUGCUUGAUCUAAGAGGACAGACAAUGUGUUUGGAUAGUCAGAAGGCCAUUUUUAUGGGAAUGUUUGAAGAAUGCAUUGUGUUUUUUCAAGCUCUUCCUCCAGUCAGUGGAAAGAGCUGACUGAGGGACCAGAGGACAGUCUUUUGUUGUCACGAAGCUCCUAUCAAAGAAGAUAGGACGUGCUGCUCUUACGUCUUAGAGUGGACUGUGCCAGACUUUCUUUUUUUGUCCUAGACUUCUAACUCUUCUUGUAUCCUUCUGCACUUGGAAGGGAAAAGAAACCCUUUUAACCUUAUGCACUGUGAUUACUCACUUGAAGGCAGUGGAGGAAAGAAUACCCAGCAGGAGCACACUCUGCAAACACUCAGCAAAAUCAUUGGAUCUGCAUAUUUUUAAUCAAUGAGGUCUUGGCAAAAUAAAGGGUGGUCAUUUUUAUCCAGACUGUAGUUUGUCCAAGUCCCUGGGUGAGGUUCAGCUGUUUAUGUUUUCUUUGAGGAAAAAUCUCCUCAAGGCCCGGUGCUGAGUCGUUCUUUGCCUCCAAAAAAACCCCCAGUGUGGGAGUGCUGGCAUAUGGCAGGGCUCUGAGAGGCAUGUGAGCUGAGCCCAGAGUUUGCCCCUGAUGCAGCUCAGGCAGCCAUCAGGGCCACUGCAACCACCCAAAGGAGCUGGGACUGGGUUUGAAGGAAUUAGAGCCAAAUGACAUGAAAAAUAUUAACCUUCUGCAUAGAAACAGAAACCUCACUGCCCAUUCCUGAGGACAAACGGAUAAUCUUUUUUAUUUUCAGUAUCAGUGGAAUUGCUGUUGUUUUCAUUACCUUCUCCUUUUAAUUGGAUCCAUGUAUGCAAUACACAUGUAUUUAGAAAUGCACUGGAAAUAGUGAUGGAUAACAUUGUUUUCCAACAUUUGAAAGAGGAGGGGGGCAAUUGUUGGUAUGUCCAGUCUGGGAAGCAGUAGGAAUACCACAGCACAUGCUUGAGACUUCGCUAGGCAUGUAGGACAUUAAACCAGAUGCUUCACCUCCCUCACAUUCCUCCCUGCCAGUUCAUCUGGGGCAGGGAUAAGGGAGCUGGGGACUGCUGCCUUUUUACCCAGUGCUGCCUUGUUCCUCAAAAGGGCUCAGCCUCUUACCUCCUCCUGCUGGGGACCAUCUACUGAGCACACCUCAUGUUCUGUACGUGCACGGUAACACAGUUUUGUCAGGCCCAGCAAAUCAUGCCAUGCCUUGGGUUGGAACGGGUUGUACUGCACUAAAUAGUUUAUUUAGUUGUUGUUUUGGACUUCAGAGGCCAUCUCAUUCCAACCCCUCUGCCAUGUGCAGGGCUGCCCCCCUUGCGGAAUACUGACCAGACAAUAAACCUGUUGGAGUAAUGAUGAUGCCAAGCCAUCACUUCCCGGGGGAAAGUGGAGCUGGAGGUUGUGUGUGUCUCACCAGCAAUCGUCUUGUGACUUUCUGGCCCAGCAUAAAAAAAGAGAGCUCUCUGAGAAGGGGUUGGAAUUUGAUGCUUGGGAAGGUGAUGGGAAAUACUUUUCAAAUAUUUGAUUGGGCCAGAAAAUUAGGACAAAGAAGCCAAAGCCUGGCCUCAGCAUUGUCACAAGCAGUUCCUACUGCCUUUGGGAAGGCCAGGAUUUCACUCAUGGAUUUUUAACGCUGGCACAGAGACAGUGUCUUACAACAGAGGAUGGGCAUUUCUGGCUCUGUGGGGAUUGCUGUUAAUGACACUGGAAAGUGAUUUUUUUUUCUAUUUUUUUUUAACCUGGCAUUGCUCCUUCAAGCAAAUUAAAGUCUGAUAGGUUCACAUUUCUAUGUGUCAUUUACCCAGACACCUACUGCAGGGCCUAAAGCUUGUGGCUGCUGGAGAGAUUAAAUCCUACUAAUGCGCUUUUCCUAACACACUGAGGGAAUCUGGAGUCUCUCCUUUUGAAGCUGACUUGCUAUUUUGACUAAUUGCUUCUGGUAACAGUUAAUAGCAUUUUGCAAAGGCACUUCAUCUGCUGACAGCAGAUUGAUGUAAGGAAGGGACACAGUUCACAUUUCCAAAGGGAGCAUUGGGAAACCCAUUACCAG